RNAcentral lists this ribosomal RNA (371 nucleotides) under uncultured bacterium. RNAcentral describes it as "partial 16S ribosomal RNA". It matches the Rfam family "Bacterial small subunit ribosomal RNA", at positions 338 to 701 of the family's 1533-position model. The record is from RNAcentral.
CCUACGGGAGGCAGCAGUAGGGAAUGUUCGUCAAUGGGCGCAAGCCUGAACGAGCGAUGCCGCGUGAGUGAAGAAGGCCUUCGGGUCGUAAAGCUCUGUUGCGGGGGAAAAAAGGCAGCAUCAGGAAAUGGGUGCUGACUGAUGGUGCCCCGCCAGAAAGGCACGGCUAACGACGUGCCAGCAGCCGCGGUAAUACGUAGGUGGCGAGCGUUAUCCGGAAUGAUUGGGCGUAAAGGGUGCGCAGGCGGUCCUGCAAGUCUGGAGUGAAACGCAUGAGCUCCACUCCUGCAUGGCUUUGGAAUCUGGCGGACUGGAGAGCAGGAGCGGGCGGUGGCACUCCAUUUGUAGCGGUCAACUGCGUCGAUCUCUGG